This 546-nucleotide ribosomal RNA is filed under the name Shigella sonnei. Its description in RNAcentral is "bacterial SSU rRNA". It matches the Rfam family "Bacterial small subunit ribosomal RNA", at positions 1 to 536 of the family's 1533-position model. The record is from RNAcentral. Lineage: Bacteria; Pseudomonadati; Pseudomonadota; Gammaproteobacteria; Enterobacterales; Enterobacteriaceae.
AAAUUGAAGAGUUUGAUCAUGGCUCAGAUUGAACGCUGGCGGCAGGCCUAACACAUGCAAGUCGAACGGUAACAGGAAGCAGCUUGCUGCUUCGCUGACGAGUGGCGGACGGGUGAGUAAUGUCUGGGAAACUGCCUGAUGGAGGGGGAUAACUACUGGAAACGGUAGCUAAUACCGCAUAACGUCGCAAGACCAAAGAGGGGGACCUUCGGGCCUCUUGCCAUCGGAUGUGCCCAGAUGGGAUUAGCUUGUUGGUGGGGUAACGGCUCACCAAGGCGACGAUCCCUAGCUGGUCUGAGAGGAUGACCAGCCACACUGGAACUGAGACACGGUCCAGACUCCUACGGGAGGCAGCAGUGGGGAAUAUUGCACAAUGGGCGCAAGCCUGAUGCAGCCAUGCCGCGUGUAUGAAGAAGGCCUUCGGGUUGUAAAGUACUUUCAGCGGGGAGGAAGGGAGUAAAGUUAAUACCUUUGCUCAUUGACGUUACCCGCAGAAGAAGCACCGGCUAACUCCGUGCCAGCAGCCGCGGUAAUACGGAGGGUGCA